CAUUGAAUAAGAAGGCUUUGCCUGUCUCCCGCACUGGACCCCGAGCUCCCUGAAGACAGGGAUCUUGUCUAUCUUGUUCACUGUGUGUCUCCAGCUCCUAGAACAUAUGUCAACUGGGACCGAAGGAUCCGCUUCCAAGACGGCUCACUCUAAGUCGGCCGCUGGCUGUUGGUUUCACACAGGCCUCUCUGCAGGGCCGCUUGGGUUUUCUUGCCGCGUGAUGACUGGGUUCUAAGAACACUCGCUCUUGGAACUGAGGCACGUGCUGCAAGGAAGCCCAGGCCACGUGAAGAGGCCACUUUGGGGAUCCCAGCAGAUAGCCCAUAAUCCUGGCACCAACUGUCAGGCGUCUAAGUGAGCCAAUUCAGAGGACCCCGGCCCCCAGCCUUCGAGUCUUCCAUCAGAGGCACCAGUGACAGACCAUCCUCACCAUGUUCUGUCUGCAUUCCGGACCCACAUGACCCAUGGGCAUGAUAAAUGGUUACUUAAUGCCAA
Molecule: long non-coding RNA, 495 nt
Organism: Neofelis nebulosa (Clouded leopard)
Lineage: Eukaryota; Metazoa; Chordata; Mammalia; Carnivora; Felidae
Exons: 3
Source: RefSeq, a predicted model, not a curated record